This 125-nucleotide small RNA is filed under the name Marmota monax (woodchuck). Lineage: Eukaryota; Metazoa; Chordata; Mammalia; Rodentia; Sciuridae. The record is from RNAcentral.
GCCAGGUGCAGUGGUGCAUGCUUGUAAUCCCAGCUGCUCAGGAGGCUGAGGCAGGAGGAUCACAAGUUCAAAGACAGCCUCAGCAAAAGUGAGGCGCUAAGCAACUCAGUGAGACCCUGUCUCUA